UACGGAAGGCAGCAGGGGGAAUAUUGCACAAUGGGCGAAAGCCUGAUGCAGCUAUGCCGCGUGUAUGAAGAAGGCCUUAGGGUUGUAAAGUACUUUCAUCGGGGAGGAAAAAACAAAACUAAUAAUUUUAUUUCUUGACGUUACCCGAAAAAGAAGCACCGGCUAACUCCGUGCCAGCAGCCGCGGUAAUACGGAGGGUGCUAGCGUUAAUCAGAAUUACUGGGCGUAAAGAGCACGUAGGUGGUUUUUUUAAGUCAGAUGUGAAAUCCCUGGGCUUAACCUAGGAACUGCAUUUUGAAACUGAAAUACUAGAGUAUCGUAGGGGGAGGUAGAAUUCUAGGUGUAGCGGUGAAAUGCGUAGAUAUCUGGAGGAAUACCUGUGGCGAAAGCGGCCUCCUAAACGAAUACUGACACUGAGGGUGCGAAAGCGUGGGGAGCAAACAGGGAUUAGAUACC
This 456-nucleotide ribosomal RNA is filed under the name uncultured bacterium. Its description in RNAcentral is "bacterial SSU rRNA". It matches the Rfam family "Bacterial small subunit ribosomal RNA", at positions 340 to 786 of the family's 1533-position model. The record is from RNAcentral.